Molecule: ribosomal RNA, 479 nt
Filed under: uncultured bacterium
Lineage: Bacteria
Description: partial 16S ribosomal RNA
Rfam family: Bacterial small subunit ribosomal RNA
Source: RNAcentral
GACGAACGCUGGCGGCGUGCCUAACACAUGCAAGUGGAGCGACGAACCGGGGCUUGCCCCGGGGCAGAGCCGCGAACGGGUGAGUAACACGUGGGUGACCGGCCCCGAGGACUGGGACAACCCGGCGAAAGACGGGCUAAAACCCGAUGUGCCCCAGGGGGGAAGGGAGGCUUCUUCCUCCCCAUCGGGAUGGGCCGGCCGCGCAUUAGCUUGUUGGUGGGGUGAGGGCGUACCAAGGCGACGAUGCGUAGCGGGUCUGGGAGGACGAUCAGCCACACUGGGACUGAGACACGGCCCAGACUCCUACGGGAGGCAGCAGUGGGGAAUCUUGCACAAUGGGCGAAAGCGUGAUGCAGCAACGCCGCGUGCGGGAAGAAGGCCUUAGGGUUGUAAACCGCUUUCAGUUGGGACGAGGCUUAGUACGUGAAUAGCUGUCUGGAGUGACGUUACCUUCAGAAGAAGCGCCGGCUAACUACGUG